RNAcentral lists this long non-coding RNA (237 nucleotides) under Phaseolus vulgaris (common bean). Its description in RNAcentral is "long non-coding RNA (PVUL_LNC003466)". The record is from RNAcentral. Lineage: Eukaryota; Viridiplantae; Streptophyta; Magnoliopsida; Fabales; Fabaceae.
CAGCUCCAACUCCAACACCGCCUCCUCCCCCAGCUCCCACAUCGCCAGUCCAAGCAGUUCCCUUGGCAGCUGCAUUUCCCGUGGUUGAGGCUGCUGAGCCCAACUUCAUGGAGAACCCCCCGAGCGCCUCCACGCCAUAUGUAUCUGCUGGAGGGGGUCCUCCUUCAACUGCCUCAACUGCGGAAGCUGCACCAGGCGGGGACGAAGGUGCUCACAACUCGCCUAUUAUCAUCACCG